ACUCCUGCGGGAGGCAGCAGUGGGGAAUAUUGGACAAUGGGCGCAAGCCUGAUCCAGCCAUGCCGCGUGAGUGAUGAAGGCCCUAGGGUUGUAAAGCUCUUUCACCGGUGAAGAUAAUGACGGUAACCGGAGAAGAAGCCCCGGCUAACUUCGUGCCAGCAGCCGCGGUAAUACGAAGGGGGCUAGCGUUGUUCGGAUUUACUGGGCGUAAAGCGCACGUAGGCGGACUAUUAAGUCAGGGGUGAAAUCCCGGGGCUCAACCCCGGAACUGCCUUUGAUACUGGUAGUCUUGAGUUCGAGAGAGGUGAGUGGAAUUCCGAGUGUAGAGGUGAAAUUCGUAGAUAUUCGGAGGAACACCAGUGGCGAAGGCGGCUCACUGGCUCGAUACUGACGCUGAGGUGCGAAAGCGUGGGGAGCAAACAGGAUGAGAAACCCCAGUAGUCCCAUGA
RNAcentral lists this ribosomal RNA (449 nucleotides) under uncultured organism. RNAcentral describes it as "partial 16S ribosomal RNA". It matches the Rfam family "Bacterial small subunit ribosomal RNA", at positions 335 to 800 of the family's 1533-position model. The record is from RNAcentral.